RNAcentral lists this long non-coding RNA (686 nucleotides) under Rattus norvegicus (Norway rat). RNAcentral describes it as "long non-coding RNA NONRATT022079". Lineage: Eukaryota; Metazoa; Chordata; Mammalia; Rodentia; Muridae. The record is from RNAcentral.
GUGCUCUUCUCUACGCAGUGUUCAUUGGGAUGUGUCUUUCAGAACACAAUUAUAAGGAGUUCUUUGAUGCGGUUUUCGUAUUUAAUGUCUUCCCCAUUUUGUUUUGAUUUUUACCUCUAUGACAAAGUCUUAUUUUCUUGCUAUCCUUGCCGCUUUUAGGAAAUGGUAGACUUGAAAACCAUUGUGAGCAACGUUGACAGCAAGUAGACAAACCUGCUUUCAGUAUCCUGCCAUUUGAGGUUUAAAGCCCUAAGAGAAGUAAUGUCUUAAAGAACUGUUCAUGUUUUCUGUAGAUGGAUAUGGUGUUAAGUUCGACAUUCCAAUGCAUGAGGUAUUUAUUUUUAUUCAUGUAAUAAAGUUGUAUGUAAAUAGUAUGUUUUUAUGUUUAUAAAAAUGCAUAAUAAUGAGUCUAGGAAUGCCCCUUAAGACACAUAAAUAUCUGUAAUGGAAGUGUUUGAAAUAUUGUGCACAUAGGUACUCCAUAGCAGUUCAAACUAUCUCUUUGUAUUCUGUAAUAUUAAGCAUGUAUGCCAUUCCUUUUUGAUAAAGGAGUACAUGAGAUGUGUAGGUUUAUGUCUAUUGAGGCCUUACUGAGAUCAGCAUUCUCUACAGCCACGUUAUAGUUAAUGUCACUGUGUUAUAUACCUUGUCCUGAUCUUAGCUUAAUAAAUGCAGUUUCCUCAGAG